UGUGAUUUUUCCCCCUAUAAGAGAAUUGAGAGGGGGCCCGCGACCACAUUGUCAUCUCGAUCCGCGAUCCGUCAGCACUGUACAGCAUGUUUCCGUUCCCGAUUGUGUUGUUGUGUUUUGGCGCGGUGGCGCUCGCCGCCGAAAGAUCGCCGGAGGCGCAUGGACGUCAAGUUGUGUUGACUCAGCUCAUCCUGCCGAACGGACAGUACCCGGGCCCGGCCAAAGUCAUCGAAGCAGCCGCCCCUCUGCCUGCAAGACAAGUCUCGUACACCAUCCCCCAGCUUAAACCUAACUACGUUGACGGGUUCCAAUACUACCCGGUUUUCCCGGGUCAGGCACCUGUGCCUUAUGGUGCAAGUCCCUUCGUCUACUACCAGCCUGGCGCUCCCUAUCCGGCCUACGUUCGAGACGAACAGGGAAGUGGAGGAGGUGGAUGGAGUAACUUCUUCAGUAAUUGGCAAAAUUAUAUCCCCAGCAGCAUAUAUCCCCAAGGUGGCCAAAGUAGCCAAAGCGAAGAACAACAAAGUGAGGAAAAUGAAGGGGAGGAAAACAAGCAGAAGCCCCAGAAAGUGCAACAGCAAAUCCAGCAACAGCAGCUCCAGCAACAACAAUUCCAGCAACAACAAGAGCAACUCCAACAGCAACAGAUCCAACAAGUUCAGCAGCAGAUCAAGCUUCAACAAGAACAGCUCCAACAGCAGCAGCCUUCCCAGGUGUUCUACAACCAGCAACCGGCGCCUGAGAGCGUAGGCAACCAGAAGGACGGAGCUCCUGCCGGAUUGCAGAACCCGGCAGCGACCGCCCAGUUCCCCCAGUUCCUGUACGGCGCUCAGCCCCAGUUUUUCGGGCCGUACCCGUCGCAGAACCGCGUGAGCCAGGACCCUGACAAACUGACCGCGGCCUCUCACGGCGCUGUCUCCAACUACUUGUUCCUUAAAAACCAGCAACAACCCGCAUUCCAGCACACGCAACAGCGGUACGAGAGUCCGGCGGCAGAGCCCGCGCCACUGGCGGCCGGCGGUCGCGGGCGGCCCGCAGCCGCGGCGGCGGCCCCGGGGAAGCGACUCGAGCUGGAGAGAUAUUCGGCCGACGCCAAGAACCAAAGAUCUCCUCUUUACGCCCAGCACGUCUCUGCGUUGCAGGUUUCCGCCGACCCCGCCUCUAUCCAAGGUCCCUCCAACGUCUAAAAAUCCACAAUCGUUAUUAAAUCAAUUUCUCCCGAAACAUCUCAAACCCCCAAAGUCAAAAGCUGAGAUACGAGACCUAUGAUAUGAUAUCGGAUCGCGAAUUUUAAUAUUGUGAGGUCAUCUGAUCGCUCAAGCGUCACCUGAAGCUCUGGCCGCCGCGGGGCAAGGAGGCAUGGCAGGCGCUGGCCCCACCGGGCAGGCCAUCGUAGGGGACAGGGGGCUCGCCCUCUCGGCGCCCAAAAGCACGGCCAUCGCCGGUCACCCCGACAUCGAGGUCGUCAUCACCGGGGACAAGAAACCCGGCUCCAAACCCAAGAAGCCCGUCGCCAAAUACUCGAAGAGCAAAGGCUACCACAUCGACUACUCGUCUUGAGAUCUCCAUUCCACCACCGACUAAAUUUCACAAACGGGGAGAAGGACCUUUGGAUUAUAUCCGUUCCCUUCCCGCACUGUUUUACCAUGACUGUUCCUUACCGUGAUCUAAUUGACGAACUAUCCUCGACAGAAUAUUGGCAUAAGUUCUGCCGCGUUAAGGAAAAACGCCCUGAGAACCGUCAGGCGUUGCCAAACUUCCAUUUUAAAAAACAGGAAUUUCCUGGUAAAGUCGUGAAUAUUUUUCUUCCAAUUUUUCAUAUAAUAAUGUUUGCAAUUUCACCUGAAGCUCCUGAAAUUCUUGAGGAAAAAUAUUCAUAACCUUCCUCAAAAAUAAACAUUUUGUCGAAGGAAAUUUGGCAAUUCUCGAAUGUUCAUACGGCGUUCUUCCUUAGCACGGCAGCGUUGGUCAUUAUUACGCGAAGAAUUAUAGUAAUUUUUAUACUAAGGCGAAGUUUGUAAAAUAAUGUAUGUCCUAAUUGAGUUAAUAGCUAUCACGUGAGAGUUUCGCCACUUCUCGUUAAAACUUUGAAGAUGACUCAAAAUUUAAUUUUCUGGCGUAAAAUUUACCAACAUUUUCCCUGUCAUUCAUAAUUCGUUUAGGGAUAAUUUCCUGCCUAUUCCGAAUAAUUUAAGCCAGCCAGCUUUAACGUUUGCUGAUCCUAAAGUGUAUGUGCCAUUUUAUUUUUUAUGCUAAGUAGGGUUGGAGCAUUAAAAUGCUCGGAGAUUUCUUUGGUAUCCAAAUACGACGUUGAAUGCAUCGUAUGAUCAUCACAAACAUUUGCUUGAUCUCGUUCUAUUUUGUGUUAUGUUCGAGUCACAUUCCUCAAUUCUUUAUUGUAUCUACACGGAUUUUGAUUGAAACACAUUUUGAAAAUAAUUUAAAAAUUAUGAGUUUGGCUGUUAUAUAAUGAGUCUCAGUUUGAAGCAUUAAUUUUCAAUUUGAAAAUGAAAAUUUAAAGUCGAGUCUUUGAUGUUGGGUUCAUCAUGGAUCCUAGCUCUAUUUAAAAUCAGUGGGUCGCCACUUUCCGUCCAUACAUUGUAUUGGUUCAAAAUGGGUUUUUCAAAUUCAAGUCAAUUUUUAUUUAAUUUAGAGGGGCUGUUCAAAAAAUCUGAAUAAGUUCAUAAUUCGUGCCACUAUUGUGUAGUAACAAGGACGGCUCAGUGUGAAUCUUGUAUUGUGUACUUGGGACUGUAAGAUAGGUUUCUUAUAUUUUUUUUGUUUCGUUUUGCUACGUUUAUGGUCCAUUUCUCUUGACUAGACUUCGAUUCGAUAUUGGUAAACUUUCCUUGCAGUGCUUAAGUUUUAAAUCUUAGUAACAGAUUGAAUUGAAAGUAAUGUGGAUGAAUAAACGUUUAGGAAAAAUCAAUACGCAAAAAUUGCAAAA
This is an RNA transcript of Bemisia tabaci, 2947 nucleotides long. RefSeq lists it as uncharacterized. The record is from RefSeq and is a predicted model, not a curated record. Lineage: Eukaryota; Metazoa; Arthropoda; Insecta; Hemiptera; Aleyrodidae.